Molecule: ribosomal RNA, 253 nt
Filed under: uncultured bacterium
Lineage: Bacteria
Description: partial 16S ribosomal RNA
Rfam family: Bacterial small subunit ribosomal RNA
Source: RNAcentral
UACGUAGGGUGCAAGCGUUGUCCGGAAUUAUUGGGCGUAAAGAGCUCGUAGGCGGUCUGUUACGUCGGCUGUGAAAACCUGGGGCUCAACCCCGGGCCUGCAGCCGAUACGGGCAGACUAGAAUUCGGUAGGGGAGACUGGAAUUCCUGGUGUAGCGGUGAAAUGCGCAGAUAUCGGGAAGAACACCCGUGGCGAAGGCGGCACUCUGGGACGGUACUGACGCUGAGACGCGAAAGCGUGGGGAGCGAACAGG